AUGGCGGCGGCGGCGGCGUUCCUUCCGUACGACGUGGUCCUCCAGAUCCUCGAACGCGUCAAGGACGUGGCCACCUUCUUCCGCUUCGCCACGGCGAGCAAGGGGUUGCUUAGCCUCGUAGUGGCUGACCCCUCCUUCCUCCGCCGCUGCCUGCCGGAGGAUGCGUGCUACUCGGCCCCUUUUGCCGGCUUAUUUCUUCAGCGACGGCCCCGUAAAGGGUACCCUAAGCCGUGCCUUGUCCCGGCGCCACGGCCGCUAUGGGGCCCUCAUCGCCGCUCUCUAAGCUCAUUCAUCCCCAACCUCGACGAUUCCAGCUUCCUCGACCACGCGGUGCCCCUUGUCUCGCGCCACGGCCUCCUCCUCGUGCGCCUCCGCACCAGCGUCGCCGUCGACCCUGACCCGCCGAACAACGAGCUCCUGGCCGUGUGCAACCUGCUCACUGGUACGUUGGAUGUGCUCCCCUUGCUAGAGCAAGAGUAUGGUAUCGAUGACAUGGACGAGACCGGCUAUUCCAUACUGACCGCCGCAGACUGCUGGAGCUGGGACGACGAUGAGAAACAGGAGCAGCAGUUGCCCCUCUUCAAGGUGCUAGUCAUCGGCAUCUGCCAGUUCACGAGGUGGUACCGCCUCCGCAUCUUCUCGGCCGGUGAGCCACGAUGGGACAUGUCCUCCGGUUAUAUGUGGGGCGACAUCAGCGCCGAGGCACCCAUCAAUCUGCACAAUGCGGUCGUGUGUUGCGGCAUGGCACAUUGGCUCGUUCAGGGAUCUUCGACCUUUUGCACAAUUGAUGUGUCGGCCAGGACAGGCCACGUCUUCAUUACAGAUCUCUCAACCCCACUCCCCGGCAUAAAAUAUGAUGAAUCGUAUUUCAGUGCUGACACAGAGGGAAGGCUCACGUUGCUCCACCUGCAACGGGAAGGUCUUCAGCUCAAGUCCUGGAGAUGGGACGAUGAUGGCAUGUUGAUCGAUAUAGACGCUCGAGUGGUUAGGCUAAAACUUCCAUAUCCGCAUAAGGAGAUUCAGGGCGUCGUAUACACUUGCUUGGGAGAAAAGAGUGGCACGCUGAUCAUGAAAGACAACCAUGGACAUGUCUACGCUGCUGAUGUCAAGACCGGGGUGAUGCAUGAGGUAACAGGAAUUCCACGCAGGUGCAACAUCAGACGUAAGAAAAUAGCGCCCUUGGAUAUGGAUUGGCCGGCCUUCCUUGUUUCUCGGCUUUUUAUA
RNAcentral lists this ribosomal RNA (1224 nucleotides) under Triticum aestivum (bread wheat). RNAcentral describes it as "partial small subunit ribosomal RNA". Lineage: Eukaryota; Viridiplantae; Streptophyta; Magnoliopsida; Poales; Poaceae. The record is from RNAcentral.